GUGUUUGACUACGCGGAGUUGGUGGAGCCGUUUAGGUGUUAUUUGGAGAGGGAGGAGAUUUUGGGAGAGGGUUUGAUACUGGCGAUAGAGGAGUUGUCGAAAUUGAGGGAGGUGUUGAGGAGGGGGUUGAAGAAGGGGGAGUGUCACGUAGAGUUGUAUAUGAGGUAUUUAGGACAGUUCGAUUCACUGAAGAAGAGAAUAGCGAUAUCGAGGGAGGAUGGGUUUAAGUUUGCGUGGUACAACUUGUACACGGGGAAGAAGCAGGGUAUGUAUGCGCGUUGUAUGGGGGUUAGAGGGAUAGGUAGAGAGAGAGAGUUGACGGUGAAAUGAAGUGAGUGUGUGCGGAAGGUUGGAGAGGGCGGGGAUG
Molecule: long non-coding RNA, 367 nt
Organism: Schistocerca gregaria
Lineage: Eukaryota; Metazoa; Arthropoda; Insecta; Orthoptera; Acrididae
Exons: 3
Source: RefSeq, a predicted model, not a curated record